GCGUGGGGGCGGGUGUCGAAGCACUGAUACCUGAGCCAGCCGACGCCAUCGAAGCUCUUCUGGCAACCGCAGACGUGACAGAGGUCGAGUAGUCAUCUCGAUGGCUAGGCCGAUCGUUUGAUUGGUGCACCCCCUUCCUGGACUGCCUGAUUCAAGGUGAGCUACCAGAAGACUGGGCUGAAGCCCGCCGCAUCACUCGACGAGCCAAAUCUUACGUAAUCUACGGGGACGACAAGGAGCUAUCCCGAUGGAGCCCGAUAGGGAUCCUCCAAUGCUGUAUCACCGUCGAGGAAGGUCAAAAGUUUCUCGACGAUCUGCACUCAGGGGCUUGUGGCCACCACGCGGCCCCCAGGACCCUCGUUUGCACUUUUUGACAAGGAUUCUAUUGGCCAAUGGCUGUCGCCGAUGCCACCGAGCUCGUUCACUCAUGUCAUGGAUGCCAAUUCUAUGCCAAGCAAACCCACCUCCUGGCCCACGCCAUGUAGAUGAUCCUCAUCACUUGGUCAUUCGCAGUCUGGGGCCUCGACCUCGUGGGACCACUCCAAAGGACGACAGGAGGGUACACGCACCUGCUGGUAGCCAUUGACAAGUUCUCCAUGGAUCGAGGCUCGACCCAUUACCAACAUCUGCUCUGAGCAAGCCGUCAUGUUCUUCACCGACAAAAUCCACCGAUUUGGGGUGCCCAAUGUCAUCAUCACUGACAACAGCACACAGUUCAUAUGCAAGAAGUUCCUGGACUUUUGCGAUUGGCAUCACAUCCGUGUGAACUGGUCUGCGGUCGCCCAUCCUUGAACUAACGGCCAGGUCAAGCGUGCUAACGGCAUGAUCUUAUAAGGGCUCAAGCCUAGAAUCUACAAUCAGUUGAAGAAGUUUGGCAAAAAGUGGGUCGAGGAGCUUUCUUCGGUCCUAUGGAGCCUAAGAACGACACCCAGCCAAGCCACGAAAUUUACUCCAUUCUUCAUGGUCUAUGGCUCCGAGGCCGUGCUCCCAACGGACCUCGAGUAUGGGUCACCUCGACUCAAGGCGUACAACGAGCAAACAAACAAGAGAACCCGAGAGAACGCGGUCGAUCAACUCGAGGAAGCUCGAGACUUGGCCCUCCUCAACUCAGCAAGAUACCAGCAGAAGCUUCGACGCUACCACAACAAGCAUGUACAUAAGAGGGACCUGCACAUUGGUGACCUCGUCUUACGCCGGCAGUAGAGCAAUCAAGGACGCCACAAGCUAAACCCACCUUGGGAGGGUCCAUAUGUGGUGGCGGAAGUUCUGAAGCCAGGAACGUACAAACUCGCAUAUGACAAAGGCGCGGUCUUCACCAACGCUUGGAACAUCGAACAGCUACGUCGCUUCUAUCCCUAGAGCUUUGAAGCUUUGUACUUUUCGCAUUUUUGUACCACCAAAACACUUUGAAUAAAUGAAAGUAUUUUUUCAACAACGCAUGAUGUUACUAUUAAAUCUCGACAAUAGAGAAAGUCUCAACCAUGACUCAUCAUAGUCAAAACUCUCUCGGAGGCUAGAAGGUGGAACCCCACGAGCUCUAAAAAACUCGAACAUUUUUUUUCAAAAGCUCAACAUUAUUUCGUUCCUAAAAAGUUCUGCGCAGUCAAGCAGUAAACACCUCGAGCCCCUUUAGGGCCAAGAGACGUCGAGCCUGAGGAUCCCUACGCCUCCGAGCUACGGUAACUCUACUCGCUCCCUUACCCUCGAGGCAAUCGAGCCUGUUUUAGAAACUUAACUGAGGAAUGGAAACUUAGGCAAUAAAGAAAUAAAAGAAACUCGAGCAUGAAAAUAACAAUCGCUUACAGAAAUCACAAAGUUUUAGGGCCACCUAGGCCAUAACACCGUCAAGUAGCAAUAACUAACUUAUUACAUUGGGUCUAGAUACCCAGAUAAGGCUCACAUGCCUUGGUCAUCAUUUCCACCGGCUCCAUCCUUGUCUCCUUCAUCUUUGCCCAUGCCAGUCUCUGGGGGAAGCACCUCUGGCUCGAACAACACCGCCAGUCGCUCUCCAGGACCCUCAGCUUCAUCAAUCAAGGCGUGGAGCCUCUCCUCGUUCUCUACAUCGGUCUUGAUGAUGUCCAUGACAAAGCCAUGAGACACCACCUCCAUAUCAUAAGAAAAACCUGAGCAGGCGAUCGCCAUAGCCCGCUUUACCCCGGUGUGGAGGGCAUCCCGGACCCGGUCCCUCACUGUGGCGCCUAGUAAGCACAACUGAUCCACGAGAGCAUCGCCCCGAGCCGCCUCCCCUGCCUCAUUCGCAGGCUUGAGCUCCCAGGCAGCGGAGAGAUCGUUGAUCGCGGUCCUCAGCCGACCCAUCAACAAGACCUCCCCCUCGAGCUCGGCCUUAAGGGUCUGAGAGGCAGUCCAGGCCGCCAGCAGGCCAUCCUUAAGCUCUGCAGAAGUCAGCGUGAGAGUUAAUUCGCUGAAAGUAAAUAUGAUUAGAGAAACAAGUGCAAAAGAGCAAGAGCUUACCACGGAUCUUCUCCUCGAGAGACGUGUUCUCACCAACUAAGUCAGUGUUGUCCCUCUCGAUCUCCUUGUAUGAGCGGGCCAUUUCCAUCUUCUCGACCCGCAAGUCCUCGAUCAGUUUCCCCGACUAAAGGAUGGUGUCUUCCUUCUCUCGUAGUGCUCCCUUUAGACGAACGACGUCGUUAGAUAAGCUAUGAGAGCGGGUCUGCUCCUUCUCGAGCUCCUCGUGUGCCUUCCUCUCAUUCCUCUCCACGGCGUCCCGAGCGAUCGCAUUGCUGAGCAGCUCCUCCUUCACCCCGGCGUAACUGUCUUUGGAGGUAGCAAGGUCCGCCUCGAGCUUCCUGAUGUGCUCGGUGAGCAAGACCAUGUUAUCCUCCACUGCUUUCUGGUGCUCCCUGGCUUUGGCAGCUUCCUGCUUGGCUUGGCCAUGAUGACGAUGACAAAUUGCAUGUGUCAGUUACGAAAAUUCAGAAGACCUAGAUUUCACGUUCUUGUUUUCAGACAAAAUGCAAUGCACUCCAGGAAGUAAAAAAAUAUUGAGAUAUGUGAACGCAGAAGAGCCCACAUGAAUGCUCAAGCCUUUGGAUGCAACCAACAUGGCAACAUGAUAGGUAAAGCUUCUAGAGAAUAACCUUUUUUUUCCCCUGGAAUUGAGACACGUGCGUAAACGUUUUGUGGGUAAACAAAAUUUUCUGGUGGAAUUAACCAGCCUGCCUCUGCAGGCUACAAAAUAAAUAUGCGUUUCUAAUAGGCAACGUUAUUAGUAACUCUAUUAUACAAAUAAAUUAGUAAAUUUAUGUGAAUAAUAUCUCUUUAUAGAACUACUAUGUAAAGUUCUGACGUUUUUUCAGAACUGAAUGCACAGAAACAUCACCUCCAUAUAUCAUUAAGCCCUUGUUUGGAUGUAAUCGGAUUCCAUUGAUCCACAUGACAUGUGUUAGGGUGGAUUGGAGUAGAACUUGAACUAAAUUACAUCUCAAUCCACCUCAAAACAUGUGGUUGACGUAAAUCCAACAACAUCCAAGGAUGAAAAAAAAUACAUGAUUAUGGAGGCUGUAAUCAUGAUCCCUUUGUUAAUUAGUCAUACAUGGAAUCAAUUAUCGAGCAUAGCAUCAAACAAUAAUUAAUGUCUUUCCGGAAAGGCUAAAAUAAAUAUAGAUUUCAUCUUUUUUCAAUUAUAUGGUGUUUGUGACAAGAUAAUUAAUCUAAAAAUAAACUUUUCAUGCAUUUAUAGACAGAGGGAUAAGGGUAUCACAUAGCAACGAACAUGUAUAGUUUUCUUUGUAACUGAACAUAAGUUAGUGCACAUGAGACCUACGUCAAGAAUAUGCUAGCCGUCUUGUUCAUAUCAGUGUUCGAGUGCAUUGAAACAACUAAGAAUAUAUUGAGUUGUCGGCAAGAAAUUGAAAUGACGCAUCCGAUGAACCUUAGCUUUGAGAUGUUGCACAUGCGUAGGAAGAAUUAACAAUAUUAGUUACUUGUAUCAUGACGUCUAAAGACAGCUUGGCAUUUUGCAUAUAUUCCCAUGGAACAAUACCUAUAUAUUACUUAAGUCACAUGUCAUCCUCAGUAAGAUUGAUGCCCUGACCAUCUAGAAAUACACACAGAUAUGGUCGGGGUUCCUACACCUAACUGUCAAAGUAUGAUUUCUCGUGAAGAAAUUAAAGGUUCUCAAGUGUACUUGAGAGAGGAUCCAUUUAUAUGUUACUAAAAAAACUAAGUAACAACUAUUAUAUUUUGACAUUAUUAUGAUCAGUUUUUUUUCGAUGCAAUGAUUCUGAAAGUAUAUGUAUAGAUUAAGGCAAUAUGUCCCUUAAUGAAUAGCUUUUCCCCAGUAAACAGGGGUGGAGGUAUGUUAUAUAUACUUAGGGAGUGCAAAUGCAUCCCUAAAAAAAUAAAAAAUAGUGAUUUUAUCAACAUUCUACCGUAUAUGCAUCAAUCCACAAGAAAAAUGCAACCCUCUAAUUCGCUCUAACUAUGUUACCACCAAUAAAUACGAUCCAAUGUCAAUGAAUUUCUUAGCUACGUGCACAAUAUAGAAUAACUAAAGCAUUCAAGAAACAAAAUACAUCUAACUGUGUCCACUUUCCUGGAUCAAUUUCCUGCUAUGCAAAUAAUGUGAGUAUAUGACUAGAACCUAUGUCAGGAGGAGAAAUAUGACCCUGGAAAAGGGAAUUAACUUUUCAGUAUCUAGAAAAAAAUUACUUAUUACAUGAAAAUAAUGUCGUCAUGCGUUGGAAUAAUUCAGAAAUUUAAUUAACUAAACUAAUCAAACUUUAUUUAGGUACCGUAGAUAAGAAGAACAAAUUUGAUGUUGCUGUCAAAAAUGAUGUUGCCGUCAAAUGGAAGUAGACACCUUAUGCUGCUUAAAAGAAUAGUGAUACGGUUGAUAGAAAGAAAAAUGCUUCGUCAUCAGUGCAGUAUGAACGUAUGAUUCAGUGAAUGUAAGAUUCAUGUACUUUUAAAAUACGCCCUAAUGAUGGAGGAAGUAUGGAGAAAAAUGAUGUUGCCAUCAAUUAAAGUUUGACACCUUGUGCUGCUUAAAAGAACAGUACGUGAUAUGGUUAACAGAAAGAAAGUGCGCCGUCAUCAGUGGAGUAUGAAGGUGUGAUUCAGUGAAUAUAAGAUAUGGACUACUUACUGCAUAAGAUUCAGUCUAUCUGUCGAUAUCUCUGGCCUUUUAAAUUUUAACUUUUAGAACCUACCCAACUAUUGAUAUACCUCUGGCCUGUCAGAGCAAAUUAACCACGUGCACCGCCAUUCUUUUGGUAGCUGAUUGGAAAUAACAGCUGGAGAGGCACGAAGGUUUUUAAAAAUUAAUCAGUGGCCAUUGUCGUCAACAAAAAGUAUCAAAGUUGUGUGCAUGAACAAAGAAAGGCAUUGCUAGGGCCUUGUUUAGUUCUAAAAAGAUUUCGGAUUUUGGUACUGUAGCAUUUUCGUUUGUUUGUGGUAAAUAUUAUCCAAUCAUAAACUAACUAGGCUCAAAAGACAAACUGUGCAAUUAGUUUUUAUUUUUUUCUAUAUUUAGUGCUUCAUUCAUAUGCUACAAGAUUUGAUGUGACGACGAAUCUUGAAUAGUUUUUGAAUUUCGUGAUGAAGGUGCUAGUCGCGGCCUUUUCAUGUUUGAUGCGCAUGAUAGAAGCAUGACAGGCCUAAAGAUCUGUCAACUCCUCCUUCCCUUAGUAUAGUAUGGGUAGGUUCUAGGUGUUGCACGAAGGCUUAAUUACGAGUUGAGAGCUCCUAGGUGUUGACAGAUCUUUAAGCUAACAUCCCCGAUCCCCCCACCCCACCCCCCACACACACACACACCACCACCACCGCCACCAAGAGAAAAUGUAAUUUUAUAUCUAGUCUAUUUAAAUUCAGUGAAAAAAUAAUGUAUAGAAAAUAUUAAUAAUAUACAUUGAAAAUAUAUUUCAUGAUAAAUCUAAUGAUACAUGUUUAAUGAUAUGAUAAAUAUUAGUCAAACUUAAGAUGGCAUUGCAUCCUUUCUAUACAUCCACCUCAAGAUAACUCUCCCUUUGUACUUUAUUCAGAGAUCGACAUAUACUAUGGUUUACCAUUUCAAAACUUCUCCAUCAUCGUAACAUUUGUACUUUAUUCUGUUGAUUGAUGAGGAAUACACAGAUAUGAUGCUGCUAGGUACAGUUGAAAAACAUGCGAAAGAUGCUUUCCCGUCGGCAAGGCCCCGGCCCGAGCCCAGCUGUCGCAGCCCAUCAAUCAAAUAAUCUAAAAGCUAACGCAGGGAGGAGAGGCCCGGGAACUUCCAGCGAUAGGAUCGGAGGCUUGGCCCACAUAUAUUGAUUUGCGUAUGUAUUUUUCGUUCUUUCGUUUUUUGUAUAUGUUCUAAUCCUUGAGAAACUAUCACGUAAGUUUUAUGAUUUUACACGUCUUUCAUUCCUCAUUUAGAAAUACUAGUUCCACACUUCGUAAAAGAAAAAAUCAACAUUUUGGGAGAAAAAUCAUUGCCUAUUGUACUUAAAUGUAGAACUGGUUCACCAAAAAAUUUAUAUAACAAAUCAAAAAAAAUGAAAAUAUUGUGUUUCGAGAGGUAACUAAAAAGGAUGAUGAACCUACUUCAUUGCACAAUAGAUUGUUUCUGUGCUAUAUGAUCCAAGAAAUAAAUGAACAGAUCAAUCUAAUGUGCCCCUUCAUGAAUAGAUUUUUGCUUAAUAAAGGAGUAUGUAGUUUUGUUGGACCGGUAGAGAAAUAUUACAAAGCAAAUGCUACUGCAAAAUUAAUUUUAAGAAAUAACCUUCUAUUUUCGGAGACCAACACAAACAUCUUAGCCUUUCUAAAUGUGCUAGCAUUUUUCGAUGUAGACAACUAAACAGGCCACCGAUAAAAAUAAAGAUUUGGCUCAUUCUAAAUCCUAACGCAUAUAAUCUCUCCCACAACCAUCAAAUAUGUUUCCCCAUACAUCUCUCAUAAUCCUAGACUUCUCUCCCACAUAUCUCCCCUCCUCGUUUCCCCCCUUGACCUCUUCACCUCCACCGACUUUGGCUCUUGAUGACCUUAGCUUGUACGGUUGUACCUUCGAGCAAGGGGCACACAAAUUUGACAGGAUGUGUCAUGCAUGUGGACUAGAAAUUGGUUCACCAUUAGUCUACAUGUUUGGAUGGGAUAGAGCUGUUUUAACUACUAGUUGUUAUAUGGUGUGCUUUUGGAAAUAAUACAUUUGGAGCUUGUCUAGAUCGCUAAACAUAUUCAUCAAUUGUAUAAAAUUGACCGUUCAUAGGGGUGAUCUUGCAACCACCCAUUUACACCCAUCAUUUAGUUUUUUUAUGCCAACCAUCACUAAAACUGGGCCAUUUCUAGUGGUGGUUUGCUUAAGGAGAUUGUCACUAGGAACCUAUUUUCAAUGACCAUGCGCAUGGUUGGGGCUACCUUAGUACUUUCAAUGGCCCAGCUCAAUUAAACCAUCUCUAAGAAAAAUAUACAUGCUUCUAAAAAAUCAUUUGUAUAGUAUUGUGUUAUCAAUCGGUCCAUAUUGAUCUAGCUAAGUUUUGCAAGUCUUCUACCAACUAAAGCUUUUAUUUGGCUUUAUAUUUUAUCUUCUUUUCUGUUUAAACAAAAAGGUCUCCUGCUUUAUUUCAUGGUGAAAUAAAAGCAAAUAUGAUCCAUUUGGUUUAUGAUGCGCCCGCCAAACUGAUUACAUUCCAACGAGUACUAUAUGGGUUUUUUUAAGGAAGUUGGAGGGACCGAAGUCCCUGCAGGAAUUUAUUAAAAUGACAGCCAGUACAAGGGGGACAAAGGGAAUUAGAAAACAAGCCCACAAAAACGAAAGGACAGAAACAUCUACCUACUCGUUUUCUAUUUUGUUCAGUAGGGGUAAAAUGGUCUUUCUACUCCUGACUAAACAUUGUUAGCUACCCGAAAUUGAUAGAAUAGAGCCAAAUAAAAUUUUUUUUAGACCAUAGAGCCAAAUUCGAAAAAAAAAGAACCGUAUACCUAAGAUAAGUUUUUUCGAGAGCCAUACACCUAAUUCUUCCUAUAGUAUUUCCAAUGUUCUGUUUUCUACCAGGCCUGUUUUUAUUUCAAUCCGGGAUAGGCUCGCUCAGAACAUCCAUAUAGAGGCCCAAUUUGGCCCAAGACGGCCACAAACCCUCUGCUUGGUAAGGUAAACGCACCUGUGACUUGUCUCAUAUACGUGAAGAAGCCCAAGCAGCAGCCAGCAUUUUUCUCCUUUGUCAGCAUGUACGAUCAAUCCCAGUUUUUUAGUGCCAGUGCCAUAUUAAUAUAUUUUAUAUUUAUGGACGCCACGUAUAUUAGUUUGUAUAUACAUACCUUGACGCCAUGCGUGUAUGGCACUGUUGGGUGGACUAUUAGUAAUUACAUUACUAACUAAUUCAGCUAUACGUUAUUAGUGAUUACCAGCUAUAUAUACACCACGUACGCUUGCACACACACACGUAUUGACGUGUAUGUAUACUUACGUAUUAGCUUCUUCUCACGCACUUAGCAAAAGCACAAGCAACAUUUUCAUCACAUAUUAAAUUCCUGAUUGCACACAUAAAUAUAUGCAUACAAUUGAGAAUUUUAGAACAAAAUCUCGUUAAACAGAGAAGUAUGUCAGAUGCGCAUGCAAUUCUGGCUUAAGUGUCCUCGUACCAUUCAUUUCCGUCUAUUUUCAGAUUUACCUGUUUUCGUAUUACUGUUUAUUUCGCUAUCAUUUUCACUUCCGGUUGUUUUGCUCCCAUUUCUGUUUUUGUCAAAAAAAAUAUAAAAACAGAAACUGUAGAGUUUUUGGUCCAUUUUUAUCCUUAGCUAAGAGAUAGCAAGGGCUGCCAGGCUCUUUAUGAAGCACGCAUUUCGUUUGUUGCUUUUUUUCACCUUUUUGCUUUUGUGUACUCUUAAGCAGAAUGAAAUUUGUAAUUUGCGUACCACCACAAUGGGUUCUGUCAGUCAGCUGCCCCCAAAAACAACGAACAAACAUACAUACAUAACAAUGAACAUGUAGCAAAAAAAAACAAGAUCGAGUGCAUAAGCUCAUAUAGAGGGAACAAACUAAACUGCACUAAAAUCAUGUAAUCAGCAUUACAUAAAAAAUGACGCAAAGCAAAAAAAAAAAAAAAGAAUAGGUGUACAGCAAGUAGCAGCUAGCACCUACAAAUGCAUGCUACAACUUCGUCCUCAUGGGAGGCUUUAUUCAUAUACCCUAUAAUGGCUAAUGGAGACUCUUCAUCGAUCAUUCAGUUGUCUGCUGCUGGUGGGAUGUGCGGCGGGUUAGGCUUUGGUUUGGGCUCCGGCUUGGGUUCAGGCUUUGGUUUUGGUUCAGGCUUAGGCUCCGGUUUGGGUUCUGGUUUCGGCUUGGGCUCGGGCUUUGGUUCAGGUUUAGGCUUAGGCUCAGGCUUAGGUAGUGGUUCGGGUUUUGGUUCCGGCUUCGGCUCAGGCUUAGGCUCGGGUUUUGGUUUGGGCUCGGGCUUAGGCUCUGGUUUGGGUAGUGGUUCUGGUUUUGGUUCUGGCUUGGGCUCGGGCUUAGGCUCUGGUUUGGGCAGUGGCUCUGGCUUUGGCUCUGGUUUUGGCAAUGGUUUGGGCUUUGGUUCCGGCUUGGGCUCAGGCUUAGGCUCUGGUUUUGGUAGUGGUUCAGGUUUUGGUUCCGGCUUGGGUUCAGGCUUAGGCUCGGGCUUUGGUUCCGGCUUGGGCUCAUGCUUAGGUUGCAGUGGUUCGGGUAUGGGUUCUGUGCUUGGGUUCAGGCUUAGUGCUCGGUGCUUUGGGUAUCGUGCUUGGGCUCAGGCUUAGGCUCCGGUAUCGGCAUCGGUUCGGGCUUUGGUUCUGGCUAGGGCUCAGGCUUAGGCUCAGGUUUUGGUUUUGGCAUGGGCUCAGGUUUUGGUUCAGGCUUAGGCUCCGGCUUAGGCUCAGGCUUAGGUUUUGGUUCUGGCUUGGGCUCCGGUUUUGGCAGUGGUUCAGGCUUGGGCUCAGGCUCGGGUUUUGGUUCAGGCUUAGGCUCAGGUUUUGGCUUUGGCUCAGGCUUUUUUGGCUUUGGCUUUGGUUCAGGCAUAGGCUUGGGCAUCGGUUCGGGUUUGGGCUUUGGCUCUGGCUUCGUUAUGGGUUUAGGUUGAGGCUCAGGUUUAGGUUCAGGUUUCGGCGAAGGCUCUGGAUGAGGCUCAGUUUUUGGCUCUGGACGUGGCUUGGGCUCUGGUUUAGGUUCAGGUUUGGGCUCUGGCUGUGGCAGGGGCUGCGGCUGAGGCUGGGGUUCCGGUUUGGGUUGUGGCUCCGGCUGCGGCAGCUCGGCGGCAGCACGUCCAUGCUUGCGCGCGAAGCGGCCGCCAUGGCCAAGCCCGACGCCGGCAGCCGCCGCUUCGUCGACGAAGAAG
RNAcentral lists this long non-coding RNA (10286 nucleotides) under Sorghum bicolor (sorghum). RNAcentral's name for it is "long non-coding RNA (SBIC_LNC013870)". The record is from RNAcentral. Lineage: Eukaryota; Viridiplantae; Streptophyta; Magnoliopsida; Poales; Poaceae.